AGUGAAGCGGCAACAGCUCAAAUUUGAAAUCUGGCCCUAGGCCCGAGUUGUAAUUUGCAGAGGAUGCUUCGGGCGCGGUGCCUUCCAAGUCCCCUGGAACGGGGCGCCGGAGAGGGUGAGAGCCCCGUACGGUUGGCGGCCAAGCCUGUGUGAAGCUCCUUCGACGAGUCGAGUAGUUUGGGAAUGCUGCUCUAAGCGGGAGGUAGACCCCUUCUAAAGCUAAAUAUAGGCCAGAGACCGAUAGCGCACAAGUAGAGUGAUCGAAAGAUGAAAAGCACUUUGAAAAGAGGGUUAAAUAGCACGUGAAAUUGUUGAAAGGGAAGCGCUUGUGACCAGACGUGCGCCGGGGUGUUCAGCGGGCGUUCUCGCCCGUGCACUCGCCUCGGCGCAGGCCAGCGUCGGUUCGAGUGGGAGGAUAAAGGCGUCUGGAAUGUGGCUCCUCCGGGAGUGUUAUAGCCAGACGUGCCAUGCUCCCGCCCGGACCGAGGUACGCGUUCUGCAAGGACGCUGGCGUAAUGGUCUCCAGCGACCCGUCUUGAAACACGGACCAAGGAGUCGAGGUUUUGCGCGAGUGUUUGGGUGUUAAACCCGCACGCGUAAUGAAAGUGAACGUAGGUGGGAGCUUCGGCGCACCACCGACCGAUCCUGAUGUUUUCGGAUGGAUUUGAGUAAGAGCGUAGGGCCUCGGACCCGAAAGAUGGUGAACUAUGCUUGGAUAGGGUGAAGCCAGAGGAAACUCUGGUGGAGGCUCGCAGCGGUUCUGACGUGCAAAUCGAUCGUCAAAUCUGAGCAUGGGGGCGAAAGACUAAUCGAACCAUCUAGUAGCUGGUUACCGCCGAAGUUCCCUCAGGAUAGCAGUGUUGUUCUUCAGUUUUAUGAGGUAAAGCGAAUGAUUAGGGACUCGGGGG
This 908-nucleotide ribosomal RNA is filed under the name Chloridium gonytrichii. RNAcentral's name for it is "partial large subunit ribosomal RNA". It matches the Rfam family "Eukaryotic large subunit ribosomal RNA", at positions 92 to 1035 of the family's 3401-position model. Lineage: Eukaryota; Fungi; Ascomycota; Sordariomycetes; Chaetosphaeriales; Chaetosphaeriaceae. The record is from RNAcentral.